UCGGGUGUGGUGUACGGAACACUGCACGUCUUCCUGGAGUGCAUGAAGCGCGAUUGUAGCGCGCAGUCCGGGGUUCGACUCCCCGCGCCCGAA
This is a non-coding RNA of Mycena latifolia, 93 nucleotides long. The record is from the annotation of a GenBank genome assembly. Lineage: Eukaryota; Fungi; Basidiomycota; Agaricomycetes; Agaricales; Mycenaceae.